UACGGAGGGUGCAAGCGUUAUCCGGAUUCACUGGGUUUAAAGGGUGCGUAGGAGGGCAGGUAAGUCAGUGGUGAAAUCUCCAAGCUUAACUUGGAAACUGCCGUUGAUACUAUCUGUCUUGAAUAUUGUGGAGGUGAGCGGAAUAUGUCAUGUAGCGGUGAAAUGCUUAGAUAUGACGUAGAACACCAAUUGCGAAGGCAGCUCGCUACACAUAUAUUGACUCUGAGGCACGAAAGCGUGGGGAUCAAACGGG
Molecule: ribosomal RNA, 253 nt
Filed under: uncultured bacterium
Lineage: Bacteria
Description: partial 16S ribosomal RNA
Rfam family: Bacterial small subunit ribosomal RNA
Source: RNAcentral